This 45-nucleotide non-coding RNA is filed under the name Schistosoma margrebowiei. The record is from RNAcentral. Lineage: Eukaryota; Metazoa; Platyhelminthes; Trematoda; Strigeidida; Schistosomatidae.
AUCCAGUUGAUGAGUUUCAGAUAGAACGAAAUACGCAUCCUGGAU